CCUACGGGAGGCAGCAGUGAGGAAUAUUGGUCAAUGGACGCAAGUCUGAACCAGCCAUGCCGCGUGCAGGAAGACGGCUCUAUGAGUUGUAAACUGCUUUUGUACGAGGGUAAACGCAGAUACGCGUAUCUGUCUGAAAGUAUCGUACGAAUAAGGAUCGGCUAACUCCGUGCCAGCAGCCGCGGUAAUACGGAGGAUUCGAGCGUUAUCCGGAUUUAUUGGGUUUAAAGGGUGCGUAGGCGGUCGGUUAAGUUAGUGGUGAAAUUCCGAGGCUCAACUUCGGAAUUGCCUCUGAUACUGGCAGGCUAGAGAGUAGUUGCGGUAGGCGGAAUGUAUGGUGUAGCGGUGAAAUGCUUAGAGAUCAUACAGAACACCGAUUGCGAAGGCAGCUUACCAAGCUACUUCUGACAUUGAGGCACGAAAGCGUGGGGAGCAAACAGGAUUAGAUACCCUUGUAGUC
This 460-nucleotide ribosomal RNA is filed under the name uncultured bacterium. RNAcentral describes it as "partial 16S ribosomal RNA". It matches the Rfam family "Bacterial small subunit ribosomal RNA", at positions 338 to 795 of the family's 1533-position model. The record is from RNAcentral.